AAGGGAGACCUACCCAUUCAGAUUCUGAAAGCACAGAGCAAAUAGGGACUGAAUUGGUCAUCCCAAGGUCGUUCGAGGUAUGAGUGUAAGGCUUUCAAACUAUUAAAGGUUCGGAUAUGGGCUAUUAGCUCAGGUGGUUAGAGCGCACCCCUGAUAAGGGUGAGGUCCCUGGUUCGAGUCCAGGAUGGCCCACCUUAGCGAUUAAUAUUGCACGGGGGUUUAGCUCAGUUGGUAGAGCGCCUGCUUUGCAAGCAGGAUGUCAGCGGUUCGAGUCCGCUAACCUCCACUGGAGUUGAUAGAGCAAGCGAGAUUGAGGAACAGUUCAGCAACUUAUCUAGGGAAUGCUAGAGAGCCUGCUGGGAUUGUCCAGCCAGAACCAUGAAAACUGCAUAGCGAAAGAAGAUUUCUGUCAGGUAGUAGAGAUUCAUUUGAUUAUUGUUAAAUGAAUCAACACAGACACCAAUGAAUUUUGU
This 473-nucleotide transfer RNA is filed under the name Oculatella sp. LLi18. Its description in RNAcentral is "16S-23S ribosomal RNA intergenic spacer". The stretch from base 214 to 286 matches the Rfam family "tRNA". Lineage: Bacteria; Bacillati; Cyanobacteriota; Cyanophyceae; Oculatellales; Oculatellaceae. The record is from RNAcentral.